GACGAACGUUGGCGGCGUGCCUAAUACAUGCAAGUAGAACGCUGAAGAGAGGAGCUUGCUCUUCUUGGAUGAGUUGCGAACGGGUGAGUAACGCGUAGGUAACCUGCCUUGUAGCGGGGGAUAACUAUUGGAAACGAUAGCUAAUACCGCAUAACAAUGGAUGACACAUGUCAUUUAUUUGAAAGGGGCAAUUGCUCCACUACAAGAUGGACCUGCGUUGUAUUAGCUAGUAGGUGAGGUAAUGGCUCACCUAGGCGACGAUACAUAGCCGACCUGAGAGGGGGAUCGGCCACACUGGGACUGAGACACGGCCCAGACUCCUACGGGAGGCAGCAGUAGGGAAUCUUCGGCAAUGGGGGCAACCCUGACCGAGCAACGCCGCGUGAGUGAAGAAGGGUUUCGGAUCGGAAAGCUCUGUUGUAAGUCAAGAACGGGUGUGAGAGUGGAAAGUUCACACUGUGACGGUAGCUUACCAGAAAGGGACGGCUAACUACGUG
Molecule: ribosomal RNA, 497 nt
Filed under: uncultured bacterium
Lineage: Bacteria
Description: partial 16S ribosomal RNA
Rfam family: Bacterial small subunit ribosomal RNA
Source: RNAcentral